Long non-coding RNA from Equus caballus (horse), 3537 nucleotides. NCBI's taxonomy places the organism in Eukaryota, Metazoa, Chordata, Mammalia, Perissodactyla, Equidae. The record is from Ensembl.
CAUAAGAGCUGGGAGGCCAGGUUUGAAUUCAGAAUUCCAGGGCUCUCUGGAGUUCCACUCCAGAAUGUGGCAGAGCUCGUUCAGAAUGUGGGGAGAGCUCAUCCAGGUCAAGGCCUGGCCCCUUGCCUGUGUCCCCACAACUUCCUCUGGCACUGCCAAGGCCUCUGCUGCGCACACGCAGACACCCGGCCCGAAGUCCCAGUUCCACCCACCCUUCCACGGAGAGCUGCCCCUGGCGGCCCACACACCUGCACACUUGAUUUGGGUCACCUUUGGAGGACGUACCCAGGAAGGAGCUCUGAGAGGAAGCCCCCUGCCAUUUGGGCAGGAAAUUCAGAGUCCCAGGUCAGGGCUCCCAGAGCAGGUGCCCCAAGACAGGAAGUGAAAGCUGCCAGACACUUAAAGCCCGGACCCGGGAACCAGGACAGCAGCCCUUCCACCAUUCCCUAUCAGUCAACUGGCUCUAGAUCCCAACCUCGUUCACAGAGAAGGGACAGAGAGUCCACAUCUCAAUGGGAAAAGGAGCAAAGAACUGUGGCCAUCUUUAAUCUAUCACAGAUGGAAAAUUUACAGAUACUUGCCUCACUUGAGUCAGUCCACUCAACCAAUUGAAGUUCCUAAUGAGUGUAAUGUGUGUCCUGAGGUAUUGAUGGGAAGAUCAAUGGACUUUCAGAGAACCUCAACCUUCCUUCAUGAAGCUCAAAGUCUAGUGAAGGGAAUAAGGAAGAUAUCCAGCGGUGUGCUGGUGAAGAAGCUGAGGCCCAAAGAGGUGAGGGACUUGGACAGCAGCAUGUGGUGGAGCGCGUGCUCCCUCCUACCCAACGCUUUGGCCUUGGAAUGUCCAGCCCACUGGAGAUAUGAAACUUGCACUCAUGAGAUAAUCGGCAGGAAAUAAAGAGAGCUCUUUCUGUGACCUUCUCCAACUCAACAACCCCAACGACACUGGGUCUGACGGAGCUCUUCGGGAACCCCAUCAGGACAACCCCUUUCACCUGUAAGUGUUUAUUGCACAAGAGCAACCCUCACAGUCGACCCAGGUGAAGCCACCCCCCCUCACAGGUAACCGAAAUACACCUGGGCCGCCUCUGAGUUGAACUCAAAUGGAACAUGGCGCUCUCCCAAAGCCUCGACAAUUUUCCUAAAGUCUCUUGAAGAGGGAGAGACAGGAGGACAGAAAGGAGAGGCGCUCGGGAACCGUAUGCCAAACCCGCAGCCCACGGUCCACUUCCUGAAAACCCUGGUACCCACUUCUCUCUCCAGAGCCCCACAACCACAGGGCGGGCGCUCCUCCGCCUUCCCCUCACGCUCAAACUCCGCGGGGCCCGCUGGCUCCUCGAGCACUCAGCCCCGCUUCCCCGCUCUCUCCCGCACACCCUGCCAACAGUUUCCUUCCGAGAGUAGCCCUAAGUGCUUUCUUUUGAAAAUCAAUUUAGCCUCUCUAACCUCUAGCAUUUUCCUGUGGCCUCCUCAGCCAUUAUCCCAAUUAACACAACAAAGGGCCGGGUUCGGAAGGCCGUGCAGAGUCAAGGGGAAAGGCUGUGAAUAAAAACCUGUUUGUCACUGUCGUUUGUCUUAUUGGGUGUGAUGGAAGAUUCUGAGCCGCAGCUGAGGGCACCUGGCUUUCACCUCAGCCCAGUCGUUCAUUACGUGUGCGACCUCCCUCCAACAGGUCGUUUAACAGUAGGACCUUCACUUAAGAAUAGAAACUGGGGAUAGCGGCUCCCCCCUGUGGGAUGAGAGACACUGUGAACUUUGAACCUGCCAGGUCUGGAGAUGAAGAGGGAUAGCCAGGAUCCUGUUUUGGACAAAAAGCAUCACCGAGUCUCACCCUGAGGAAACAGAUCCAAACUGAAGAACAUUUCCCAAAACAACGGGUCUGUGGUCCUCAGAAAUGCCAAGGUUUUCUGUAAGUGUGAAAGUAUUUCAAGACAAAAAGUUAAAAAAAAAAAAACACAGUGAUACACAAGAGCUCUGAGGUCACGAAUUUUAAUCUAUUGAAGAAGCUUGUUACUCCAUCCAUUCAUUGCACAGACAUUUACCGAGCGCCUACUGUGUGCCAGACAUGGCUCGGAAUUCGGAUGCAGGGAACAAGGACCCAGUCUAGAAAGCUAGGCCGGGUCAGGGCUGUUGUGGGUUUCACACUUGUUCCCCCAGCCCGCUUCGGCCUCCAGGCUCUCAUUGUCGCAGAGGAGGCUGGUGCUGCUGCCAGGAGGCCCUUCCUGGAAACUGCCCCCACCUGGAGACAUCUACUUCCCCCGAGGUUUCGCCUCCUCCCAGCAUCUACCGACUGAUUAUUUGGGGGUGUCGUUCAAGGCCUGCCCCUUGCCUGGACUCGGGAUAACUCUAAAGGCUAUCCCAGCUUCGGAUCUCCCACAGGGUCAGCUCAGACCCCCACUGAGACAACACCUCAGUUCAAUGUCUCUCCUUGCCCAAAGCACCCUACACAACCUCUGUCUCCGAGUUUGUGUCCAGGGAGCCUGAUCAAUAAUUGAGUCCCAACAGGAAACAAAUGCCACAGCCAGAUUAGGGGCCCCAGAAGCAGUUCAACCCAUGCAUCCUUCCAGCAGGCUGGCCACUCCCACCUGCAGAGCGGAAAUGGUCCUGCUUCUGCCACCAUUUCUAUGUCAUAAAAAACCCUAAAACUUGGUGACUCAAAACAACAAAAAUGUAUUAUUUCUCACAACUGUGGGUUGAUCGUGGUCCUUCUGCUUUGUGUGGUGUCAGCUGGGACACUGGGAAGGCUGGAAGGCACCAAGUGUCCACACUCCCCCGGCUUGGCUGCAGGUGGAAGUUCAGGGGUGCUCCCCUCCUCUCUGCUGGGGCCUCCCCACUCGGCUACUUGGGCUUCCUCACAGAAUGGCAGUCAGGUUCCAAGAAGCAAAGACAGAAGCUGCAGAUCUCUGCGGCCUUGGGACCUACACAGCAUCACUUGCGCUGCAUCCCACUCCUCGAAAGAAGUCAGAGGCCAGCCCCGAUGCAAGGGCAGGGAAUUAGAUCUAGUCUCUGAAUGCAGAGAAGUGGCAAAGAAUGGUGGUCAUCCUGAGAGGCAGAGACAAAACAACCGCAUGGCAAAGGCUGAAGACCCCCACGUGACCGCUGCCCCAUUGCCCAACAGUGUUCCUGCCAGCCAUGUCGUGACUGACGUUAGCAGGGACUUCCCACCUGUGGUUGUGCUUCUGCACACGUCCCAGCCCUCUCAGGCCUACCCUUUCAGUACUCCGCGUGCAGUGCAAGCCAGGGGUCCAGACCAAUGUGGUCACCUUGGCGCUUGAUUUUUAGUGGUCUCUUGGCCUUCAGAUUUUAAACUCCCAGGUGACACAAACUAUAUCUUCUAAAAUGCUCUGUCCAUCUUAGUGAAAGUCAUUUUGCCCUUCCCCUGGGGAAUUGUAGUUAACAAGUGUGAUCCAUGUUUAAAUUAUGUAUCUGUGAACAUAUAAAUUAUAUACCCAUAUUUGCAAGGCUGCCACCUUGCACAACUCCAUGGAGGCACCAUUCACACAAUAGGCUUUGUAAAUGGUGUCCCCUGGAGUUAUGCAG